This 253-nucleotide ribosomal RNA is filed under the name uncultured bacterium. Its description in RNAcentral is "partial 16S ribosomal RNA". It matches the Rfam family "Bacterial small subunit ribosomal RNA", at positions 524 to 776 of the family's 1533-position model. The record is from RNAcentral.
UACGUAGGGUGCGAGCGUUGUCCGGAAUUAUUGGGCGUAAAGAGCUCGUAGGCGGUUUGUCGCGUCUGCUGUGAAAACUCGAGGCUCAACCUCGGGCUUGCAGUGGGUACGGGCAGACUAGAGUGCGGUAGGGGUGACUGGAAUUCCUGGUGUAGCGGUGGAAUGCGCAGAUAUCAGGAGGAACACCGAUGGCGAAGGCAGGUCACUGGGCCGCAACUGACGCUGAGGAGCGAAAGCAUGGGGAGCGAACAGG